GAGGGGGGUGGGGCUUCCUAAAGACUCCAGGGAAUUUCACAAGGAAAAGGCAGAGAAGGGCCUCUCAGGGAGGUGAGGUCACAGGAGUGAGGGCCCAGAAGGCACAGUGGGCAGACCCUUGUGUUGGGGACUCAGGGAAGGUCUCAGUGGGGUGCCCGGCUGGAGGGGUCUGGGCCUGGGCCCGCACAGAAGAUCCCCUACUCCUGCCCCAGGACUUGAGGCGUGGGCCUUAUGAAUCAGCAGCUGGGACUGCAGCCAGAGGAAGGAUGCCUCUCUGUCCCUGGCAGGGUAGGGCAGGGCUGGGAGAAAUCUCCCAAUUAUAAAUUUAAGAAAACACAAGUCAAGCAGCUGAGGGCUCCGUUCCUACCACUCAAGCCCCACACCCAGCUCCCCGGGAGCCCAGCUGCUGAGGGCACCUCCAGCAGGUCCGAGACACAGACCAGCCUCCUCUGCAGGGGACGACGGGAAGGGGGGUGCAGCACGGUCACCUGGGAUGGCACCAGCCCCGCUGACUCAAACCCUAGGACUCCAGACGCUUCUGAGAAUUCAAGCAGCACAGAAUAAAGCUGGAAGUGAACAUCCCCUUCAAGCCCCCUCACCUGACAUUCCCACUGCUGGGAGUUUUGUGUGUGGGCGGUAGAGGCUCACCAAGGCUGGCUUCCGUCUACCCCACGGCUACUGAGAGGCCUCAGGCCAUCUUACCCUUUGCUGGGAUUGCCUCCCCCCAGUAAUCCCUCACAUCGCCCCUGGGCAGCCCCCAAACCUGCCUGGACUUGUUCAAGACAGAUAUCCUGUUGGUCAUUGGCCCCCAUUAUCUCACUGUCCCAAUUUCUUGCCAAAAUAACUUCCCUCUACUGCUAUGAGACCAGAGGGUUGAAGUGACCACCCACCAGGGGCCCCUGGAAGGAGAGGGUAGAAACGGGGUCCCCAGAGCCUUAGGGCCUUGGGGAGAAUGUGGGGACCAGACCUGACAUGAAAGUUUUACAGGCCCCCAUGGGCAUCCUUCUGUUUGGUGGAAACAUUACUCCACCAGGCCAGUAAGCUUGGGUGCCUGAUUUUCCAACCAAUACUAGAUUUUAAGUUCUAUAGGAGUAGAAUUGUGUCUUCAGACUUUUGUUUGAAUGUCUCUCCCUCCUCUUUCCAC
RNAcentral lists this long non-coding RNA (1144 nucleotides) under Equus asinus (donkey). RNAcentral's name for it is "lncRNA (ENSEASG00005030779.1)". The record is from RNAcentral. Lineage: Eukaryota; Metazoa; Chordata; Mammalia; Perissodactyla; Equidae.